This 101-nucleotide microRNA precursor is filed under the name Cercocebus atys (sooty mangabey). RNAcentral describes it as "miRNA (ENSCATG00000018803.1)". The record is from RNAcentral. Lineage: Eukaryota; Metazoa; Chordata; Mammalia; Primates; Cercopithecidae.
UGAGGCAGGAGAAUCGCUUGAACCCAGGAAGUGGAGGCUGCAGUGAGCCGAGAUGGAGCCACUGCACUCCAGCCUGGGUGACAGAGUGAGACUCCAGUCUC